GGAAGUGUCAGGAAGCGCUCAGGCUUUAGUGAGCCUGGAGGGAGGGGAAGGCUGAGGUCUCCUCUGCCUCCGCAGCCACAUGGCCUGGCACGGGGCAGGCAGGCAGUAGAUUAAGCAGGCUUUAUUCUCGUGCUGGAAACAUUUCCUGGAAGCUUGGAUGGUAUAUGAACAACUGCAGAGAGAAACUCCAUCCUCGUUGGGACUGAGGACCUUCGUGCCCGCAGCAUCUGGUCUCCUCAGAGUGCUGGAACACAGCUGCCUGCCCAGGACCCUUGGGCCAGCAGCACCCUGCCUGCCUCUGCCUGCCAAGGAGGGGCCACGGCCUGGGUGGAUAAGGAAGGGAGUGGGACCCUGGCUUGCCCCAAUUCCACUCCUGCCAAUGGCUACUCUCCUUGUAGAGGAAACCGACUCUAGGACCAGAGCCUAAUUUGAGAGCCAGCUCAGAGGAGGAGGAAGACACGUGAAUGAUUCCGGCACCAUCCAAGCUGACGCUGUGGCUCUAGCUGGGAGAAGAAAAAAACUACCGUUUCCUGAUGAGCAAACACCAGUCCCCAGCUCCCUGCUAAAUUCCACUUCUAACAAGUAGUGGGGGCUGUUUAGUUGGUGUCCUUAGUACAUAUUAACAAUAAAUAAAGCUUCAAUAAAUAU
This is a long non-coding RNA of Callithrix jacchus (white-tufted-ear marmoset), 648 nucleotides long. RefSeq lists it as uncharacterized. The record is from RefSeq and is a predicted model, not a curated record. Lineage: Eukaryota; Metazoa; Chordata; Mammalia; Primates; Cebidae.